This 436-nucleotide ribosomal RNA is filed under the name uncultured Ignavibacterium sp. RNAcentral's name for it is "bacterial SSU rRNA". It matches the Rfam family "Bacterial small subunit ribosomal RNA", at positions 349 to 782 of the family's 1533-position model. The record is from RNAcentral. Lineage: Bacteria; Pseudomonadati; Ignavibacteriota; Ignavibacteria; Ignavibacteriales; Ignavibacteriaceae.
CAGCAGUGAGGAAUAUUGGGCAAUGCCCGAAAGGGUGACCCAGCAACGCCGCGUGGAGGAUGAAGGUCGUAAGAUUGUAAACUCCUGUUAGAGGGGAAGAAUAACUAAGUUUGGAGCUUAGUAUGACUGUACCCUCAGAGAAAGCCCCGGCUAACUACGUGCCAGCAGCCGCGGUAAUACGUAGGGGGCAAGCGUUGUCCGGAUUUACUGGGUGUAAAGGGCGCGCAGGCGGAAUGGAAAGUCAGUGGUGAAAUCCUACAGCUUAACUGUAGAACUGCCUUUGAUACUUUCAUUCUUGAGUUCGGGAGAGAGAGACGGAAUUCCAGGUGUAGUGGUGAAAUACGUAGAUAUCUGGAAGAACACCAGUUGCGAAGGCGGUCUCUUGGUCCGAUACUGACGCUGAGGCGCGAAAGCGUGGGGAGCAAACAGGAUUAGA